UUCUGGAGAGAAGGUUGAGAAAAACGUAUUUGCAGUCUUCUUUUCUGGUGAAAGAGCAAAGAGCAAAAUUCUCAAAAUAUGUGAAGCUUUUGGAGCAAAUCGUUAUUCUGUCCCCGAGGACCUUGGUAAACAGGCCCAGAUGAUCACUGAGGUCUCUGGAAGAAUCUCAGAGCUAAAGACGACCAUAGAUGCUGGCUUGGUGCACCGGGGAAAUUUAUUACGAACUAUUGGUGAACACUAUGAUAGAUGGAAUAUUUUGGCGAGGAAAGAGAAAUCAAUUUAUCACACUCUCAACAUGCUUAGCAUUGAUGUGACCAAAAAAUGUCUGGUGGCUGAAGGUUGGAGUCCUGUUUUUGCAACCAAACAGAUCCAGGAUGCGCUGCAACGGGCAACACAUGACUCAAAUUCAGAAGUUGGUGCAAUCUUCCGGGUUCUGCGAACCCGAGAAAUGCCGCCUACAUAUUUUCAAACAAAUAAAUUUACUUCUUCUUUUCAGGAUAUUGUCGAUGCAUACGGGGUGGCUAAAUAUCAGGAAGCAAAUCCUGGUGUUUACACUAUCGUCACAUUUCCAUUCCUUUUCGCAGUUAUGUUUGGUGACUGGGGUCAUGGUAUCUGUCUGUUGCUUGCUACCAUGUUCUUCUUAUUCAAUGAGAAGAAAUUCUCCAGUCAGAAACUUGGAGACAUCAUGGAA
RNAcentral lists this unclassified non-coding RNA (691 nucleotides) under Hevea brasiliensis (rubber tree). Lineage: Eukaryota; Viridiplantae; Streptophyta; Magnoliopsida; Malpighiales; Euphorbiaceae. The record is from RNAcentral.